AUGAAGGUUAGUUCAGCGAUGCAUGUCUUUAGCAAGUCAACAAGUGCUGCCCUGAGGUACAUGGUGGCGGAGGAGCACAGACCAGAAUCCUACCUUACCACUUCAUGGUUUUUGGAGAAGGUGGACCACUGGUUUGACCUCAUGUUAUCACGCAACGUAGUUACUGCCCUGAGUCAUUUCAAGAUGGAGGAGUAUGAUAAGGCCAUCAGCUUCCUCCGGGACUCCAUCCAUCUGUUUCGGGGCCUGAAGAUCGGUCCCAAGGGCAGCUGGAAACCAGUCCAGACAGGACUGGUGAUGGCCACAACAACAAUCCUGGAGGUCCAGCAUGACUUGUUGAGUCAAGGGCACAAAUUUGUCCUCACAAGCCGCUUCACCCAGGACUGCCUGGAAAACACAUUUUCGUCCAUUCGUCUGAGGAACUCUGUCCCAACACCUGUAGAGUUCCAAUAUGCUGUCACCGUGGGCCAGUUCCUAUCGCCAGUGCAUACUGGCAGUUACCUGGAGGAUGGAUCCGACCACUUGGCAGACUUCCUGGACACGCAGAACAGCACCUGCUGUCCUCCUGAUGUUCUAAGAGUGGAGCAGCUGGUAGACCUGAUAUCAACACCUGACAUCACCAAAACCGAGUCCUGUGUGCUGUACCACCUGGCAGGAUACAUAGUGAAAAGAGUCAUCAGCUUCUCACUUUGUGACAAAUGCAAGUGUGCACUAGUGCAAAAUGUCAGCAAUGAAAAUGAGAGAGCUGUCCUGCUGGAAUUAAAAGAAUUUAAAAGGGGCGCACUUUUCCGUCCAUCUGAUGAGGUUUUCACUCUUGUUCAGAACGUGGAGCAGCUGUUCCGUGGGCAGACGAGUGAUUCCCUCAUGGAGUCCUCAAAUGCAGUGGCACAGCUGGAACAAAAGGCCAUGUUACUGCACAGCAACCUUCCCUCAUGCCAUGACCUGAAGAAAAAAAUAAUCUCCACAUACAUCAGGCUGAGGUUAAGGAUUGCUUCAAAGUGUAUCAGGGCUGAGAGGAAGGAAAAAAAUAAAGGGUAUCUUGGCAGCAAGAGUCAGAGUAAGAAGGCAAAGAAGAAACAACAGACAUCUGAACCGAAGGUCAUAGCAUCUAGGCCACUGCCGAACACCUUACUCGUUGCCAUGGAUGUACUUGGCAUCUCCAUUCCUGGUCCACCGUCAGCAGCCCCCAGCCUCCUCGUCUUUCAGCAGUCAUCACCUGCAGCCGUCGCCAGCACCAGUCACCAAUAG
This 1245-nucleotide long non-coding RNA is filed under the name Sparus aurata (gilthead seabream). RNAcentral's name for it is "lncRNA (ENSSAUG00010008497.1)". The record is from RNAcentral. Lineage: Eukaryota; Metazoa; Chordata; Actinopteri; Spariformes; Sparidae.